This 362-nucleotide ribosomal RNA is filed under the name bacterium enrichment culture clone ALO1_GLFRUDD03HA733. RNAcentral describes it as "bacterial SSU rRNA". It matches the Rfam family "Bacterial small subunit ribosomal RNA", at positions 9 to 365 of the family's 1533-position model. The record is from RNAcentral.
GAGUUUGAUCUUGGCUCAGAUUGAACGCUGGCGGCAGGCCUAACACAUGCAAGUCGAGCGGAUGACGGGAGCUUGCUCCUUGAUUCAGCGGCGGACGGGUGAGUAAUGCCUAGGAAUCUGCCUGGUAGUGGGGGACAACGUUUCGAAAGGAACGCUAAUACCGCAUACGUCCUACGGGGAGAAAGCAGGGGACCUUCGGGCCUUGCGCUAUCAGAUGAGCCUAGGUCGGAUUAGCUAGGUUGGUGGGGUAAUGGCUCACCAAGGCGACGAUCCGUAACUGGUCUGAGAGGAUGAUCAGUCACACUGGGAACUGAGACACGGGUCCAGACUCCUACGGGAGGCUAGGCAAGUGGGGGAAUAUU